AGUGGUUCUUGACAGUUCAACAG
RNAcentral lists this non-coding RNA (23 nucleotides) under Dasypus novemcinctus (nine-banded armadillo). The record is from RNAcentral. RNAcentral also lists the same sequence under 1 other name. Lineage: Eukaryota; Metazoa; Chordata; Mammalia; Cingulata; Dasypodidae.